CUACGGGGUGCUCCAGUGGGGAAUAUUGGACAAUGGGGGCAACCCUGAUCCAGCCAUCCCGCGUGAGUGAUGAAGGCUCUCGGGUCGUAAAGCUCUGUGGGGAGAGACGAAACCUGAAGGGAACAAUACCCCUUCAGCUGACGGUAUCUCCUUAGCAAGCACCGGCUAACUCCGUGCCAGCAGCCGCGGUAAUACGGAGGGUGCAAACGUUGCUCGGAAUCAUUGGGCGUAAAGCGCGCGUAGGCGGCCUGACAAGUCGGAUGUGAAAGCCCUCGGCUUAACCGGGGAAGUGCAUCGGAACUGUCAGGCUUGAGUAUGGGAGAGGAUUGCGGAAUUCCCGGUGUAGAGGUGAAAUUCGUAGAUAUCGGGAGGAACACCAGUGGCGAAGGCGGCAAUCUGGACCAAUACUGACGCUGAGGUGCGAAAGCGUGGGGAGCAAACAGGAUUAGAUACCCCCGUAGUC
This 463-nucleotide ribosomal RNA is filed under the name uncultured bacterium. RNAcentral's name for it is "partial 16S ribosomal RNA". It matches the Rfam family "Bacterial small subunit ribosomal RNA", at positions 339 to 795 of the family's 1533-position model. The record is from RNAcentral.